CAAUCAAUGGUAUCGUCUUUUUACGUUUACUGUGUAGACAUGAUAUGAAUCUGAUUCUGAUGGUGUUUGGAUUUUGCAUGAGUGCAGGGGAAGGGAACAGGGAGUUUCGGUAAGAGGAAGAACAAGACCCACACCCUCUGUGUUAGAUGUGGCCGUCGCAGUUUCCACCUCCAGAAAAUAUAACUGGAGCGUCAAGGCCAUUAGGAGAAAGACCACCGGAACGGGAAGAAUGAGGUAUCUGCGUCACGUGCCUCGCAGAUUCAAGAGCGGCUUCAGAGAGGGUACCGAAGCUGCACCCAGGCAGAGAGGAGCGGCUACCACUGCCUAAGCUUUCGAAGUUAAUUCUUAUAGGUCUCAUGAAUUUUUAAAGCUGGAAAACGAGAUUGGAAAUAUCACAAGACAUGAAGCUAUCAAUAUGGUGUGCAACCACAUUGAGGCUGAGGGAGCAAAAUUUGAAAUAUGUAUUCAUAGUCAUCACAAGGUACGAAUGAAAAAUUGCAGAAUGAAAAAUUUACCUUUCUGUUGGUUAUUCCUGCAUGGAGGUGUUUGGUCAAGGCAGUUCUAGUAAGUUCCAACAUCCUUGUAUUUGCAGUCCUUAAGCAAAGUUUUCUUCUCAUUGUUGUACCAUCUUCAAGCUAGAAAUCUUUAUAGUUAAAGGUGAUUCAGCUGAAGGAAGUGCUAAGCAAGGGUGUGACAGGCGCUUCCAGGUAAAAUAUACAUGUUUCCAUUAAAGAAGAGUAUCGAAGGAAUAUUAAUGAACUUAUUGUAUUUGAUUAUUCCACUACUUUAUUAAUCACUUAUUUAUUCAAUGCACAUACACCAUUUAGCUAUUUAGUUGUUUCAUUUUUGUACUGUAUGUCCAUCGGUCACUCGGCUAAAUAUAAGACCCUCAGGGGACCAUCGGUCUUACGGUCAAACGAAUAGUCAUGAAGCAUCGUUAAAACAUAAGACCAUCGGUCAAACAGAUAAAAUGUCAUACCAUUGGUCAAACGGUCAAACAUACAAGUCAAGACUUAAUCGUAUUCAUACCCAUCGGCCAAUCGGUAACAUAGCAACGUUGGACCCUCUGACCUCUAGGGCCCAUCGGCCAAUCGGUAAAAUAGCAAUGUUGGACCCUCUGACCUCUAGGGCCCAUCGGCCAAUCGGUAAAAUAGCAACGUUGGACCCUCUGACCUCUAGGGCCCAUCGGCUCAUCGGUACAACAAUAACAGCGGACCCUUUGGCCGCGAGAGUCCAUCGGUUCAUCAGUAGAACAGCAGCGACGGACCUCAUAAAAUACUUGACGGUCGAUCGGUAAAACACAUUAUUAGCUUGUUGAAAGCAUAUCGUCAUUAACCCAGCAAAGCGACCAUCGGUCGCACAGUAAUAUAACUUAAGCCAGUGAUUAUCGGUUAAACGAGUCAAUAAUCGUCAUUAAGGGAUCAUUGGGCCGUGAUUAAGAAACCCUAAUUACAAGCCCAUGUCGAAAGCUAUAAAUAGGGCCCAAAGGUAGGUUGGUAAGGAUCUUAAUUGCGCAUUUAUUACAACUGAUAUACUGACGCACCGAUCGGUCCGUUCUGACUUAAGCAUCGGAGUAUUUUAGACAGGUACCCCGAUCGUCAUCCCAACCGAUCGAGCUAAGGAGUGGAUUUAGUUGAAGUCAUUGGAGAGAAGGAAGAUAUCGCGAAGUGAACGAGUUCUUUUAGUAGGCUCUUGGUCCCUACCCCGAAACAAUUUUCAUUCUUUUAAAAUAAAGGCUUCACAAACUCAUAUAACUAAUAAUUUUAUUUUGUAAGAUUUUCCCUUAGUAAUUUAAUCUAUGUCUAGUUUAAUAUGUUUAGAGUGGAUACGGUAUAUUAUCUAUAUGAUGUAUUUAAAAGUAUAUUUCAGUUGCUUUUGAAUCUUAUUACUCCAUUCAAAUUAUGAUUCAUGAUUCAAAAAUAUGCUUGGCGAUUUACAACUGAAAUCUCAAUUUGAUAACAUUGCCUAAAAGAUUGAGUUCUCAGGCCAUGACAGACGAACACACUCAUUGGUUUUGUUGUUGUCAUUAAAGCUUUAUGUUACCUUUUGAGUGUAAGAAAACAUUAUAACUAAGGUAAUGUUGUGAUGAGUAGAAAUAUAAAAUUGAGAAUGUGGUUUUUAUACUACUAACGGUCAUUUUUCUACUUCCUGUAUCUAAUCACUUGAAUUUUGUUUACUGACAUGUAGAGCACUUUAUCAGAAUUAUUUGGAGUUAUGUAAGUGCAUCUAUUUAUCAGAGCAUAUUUGAUGCAAGGCCAUUCUCCCUUUGAGGGGUAAGAUUCUGAAUAUUAAAAGGAGGGAUGAAGCAGGAAUGUACAAAAUGGAAGAGAUCAAAAUUUUAUUUUCGGGUUUGAUCUUGGUGUGAAGGUUAAAAUACUUCCUGUUUCAUUAAUUUGCUAUUAAUGACCGAGUUAAAGCACACAAAUAAACUGAUAAAAAACACAAAUGAAUAAUUAGUGAAAGUUCUGAUAGAUAGGCCACGGUUAGGCUUAAAUAAAUUAUAGAAUAUUACUAAAUUGAUAUAUCUUCAAUUGCUAAAUUGUAAGUUUUUGUCUUUGUCAUUUUCUUCUUAAUUAUAUUAAAAUAGAAGUAAUUUGAUAUAUGAUCUAGAGUCUAGUGGAAAAUUAACUUGCAUGAAGUUCAAAUUUGAAAAAGUAAAUCCAAUCUUUAAAUUGCUGAGAUUUCCAAAUGGAGGCCAACAAAAGAACCAAGUUAACAUCAAUUGAUGUGAUUUUAUUAAAAGUGAAUUUAGAGUAACUUGGUAGAAGUUUUGUGCACUGUUGUCAUGGUAUUAUCUUAACCUUUUUGAGUUGUUGGGUAUAUUCAAUCACUCUUGAUCAUUGCAGCGAUGGAUGUUGUUGUCUACGGGAAAUUAGUAUUUAAAUUUUGUAACUUGAGGACGAUUGAAGUACUGAUAUGAAAUUCAACGUGAUCAUGAUGGAUUUCGAAUGCUCAAAAGAAGGAUGUGGUGGUAAUGUCAUCAACAACCUAACACUCAUUGCUUGCUACAAAAGAUCGGAUUUUAGUAUUUCACUUUAAAAUGUUCACCAGUUAUCAACUAACUAUUAAAGUUGACACAGAUUGAGAUGUCAAACUUGACUUAGCUUUGGUUUCUUGUUUAUUAUUUACAACUGGUUGUGAAUGAUAUAGAAUGCUUUUGCUGUCUACGUAGAAAUAAAUGCUUUCUCAUUGUCCCAAAACAAA
Molecule: long non-coding RNA, 3204 nt
Organism: Vigna unguiculata (cowpea)
Lineage: Eukaryota; Viridiplantae; Streptophyta; Magnoliopsida; Fabales; Fabaceae
Source: RefSeq, a predicted model, not a curated record